UUAAGCUACAAAUUAGAACUCUGCAAAUAACCCAUAGAACAAAUCCUACCAAUAACUUACCUUCUUGAGCAAAACUUCAAAACUAAAACAAGUGAAGCAGAAUGCAGCUGAACUUUCCUCCAGUAAUUGGGCUAAAUCAUGUUAAGACAAAACACGUUAGCAUCAACACGACGGCACCUUUACGCAUCGUCGAAAUGAGAAGGGAUUUUCCCAAGAUGCUUACAUUUCGUUAAAACCAAAUGUUCAAGCUUAGGAAAAGCAUCAUAAGAGACAGACCAUUGUGCAA
RNAcentral lists this long non-coding RNA (286 nucleotides) under Nicotiana benthamiana. RNAcentral describes it as "long non-coding RNA (NBEN_LNC020614)". Lineage: Eukaryota; Viridiplantae; Streptophyta; Magnoliopsida; Solanales; Solanaceae. The record is from RNAcentral.